UUUCUACUCCCUCCGUCUGGAAAUUCUUGUCAUCAAAAUGAAUAAAAGGGGAUGUAUCUAGAUGUAUUUAGUUCUAGAUACACCCAUUUUUAUCCAUUUUGAUGGCAUGUAUUUUUGGACGGAGGAAGUAUUUC
Molecule: non-coding RNA, 134 nt
Organism: Triticum aestivum (bread wheat)
Lineage: Eukaryota; Viridiplantae; Streptophyta; Magnoliopsida; Poales; Poaceae
Source: Rfam